CUCCACGCCCAGCUCCCCCCUGGAGCGCUCGCCGCCGGGCAGCGCGCUCUUCGACGGCGGCAGCCCCCGCGGCAAGCGCAGCCCCGGCCGCGAGCCGCCCUUCCUGCCGCGCGCUCCCUCGGCCUCGGCGCUCAGCGGCCCCGCCGCCGCCAACAGCAUCUUCUCGUCGCCCCGCCGCUGGCUGCAGCAGCGCAAGGGACAGCCCUCGCCGCCCGGCUCGCGCCCCGCCGCCUACGUCGUGCGCAAGUCCGAGUUUUCAGGGUGGUGGACUCAGGCAAAAUUAUUCUCAAGCCAUCUAAUUAUUGAUAAUGCAGUAUCCAGAGAAGAGUUUACUCUGUUCUCAUUGGAGUGAUCUCAAAUGAAAUACAGCGAACACUGGAUGUAGAGAUUAGUGAAACAAAAAUACAUUUAUAAGAAGAUAGCUCUGGGAUUUUGUAGCAUUCCCCGGUAAAGCUCAGGAAGACGUUAGUAAUAUGCAGCACACAUUACUCAUCCCAUGUUGGAAGAAGUGGGGAAAAAAAACACAACAGAAAACUUGGUAUUAUUGGAAUGAAAGAAACUUUCUGCCCUGAUUCUACCAUGUGAAGCUAUAUGGAGAAAGACUAUGGGAAUUUGUCAAGUACAAACAGCUGUGACAUCUGUCUUAGAUUUUGAAGAUUGAUGGAAUUUUUGUAAUACAGAACAUUUUAAUUACUUAAUGCAAAUGUUGGUGCAUUUUUAUCAACAAUUUUACUUUUUACAUUGAUGUCAUAGUGUUGAAAAACACUGCAUCAUAUAUGGAAGUAGAAACUGUCCAUGAACUUCCAUUAUAAAAUGCCCCUGAUGGAGUAGAACAUUUCAAUUUUUUAUCACAUACACAACAGCAUUAUGACAGGCUGGCUAAAUACAGUAAAACUGGACAAGAAGAACGUGGGUCCAUAGCUUUCAUUUUUCUGAAUUACAUAACUGCUUCAUAAAACUAACCUCCUUAAGGACAGAGGAUCAAAUUCUCAUCUCUCAACUUAGCUGGAGUUACCCCAACAAAUCUGGAAUGCUUCAGUAGACUCUGAGUCCUUCAAACUCUUCAUCUUUGUGUAAGCUUGCGUAGCAUGAGCCACCUGCUCUCGUGGAAGCUGUCAGCCUGCAGUGAUAGGAACAGUGAACAGAACUGCAUCCUCAAGAGGAGCCUUGCUGGAACUCCCUAAAAGGAAGGAGUGCUGAAUGGCUGUCUCACAGUGGGAGCCUGGCUGAUGGGUGAAACAGGCAGAAAGACCAAAAAGCUGCCAGAGAAGGAGAAACAACGAGAUCAAAGUGAACCAACUUACCUGUCUCACUACAUCUGUUUUUCUUGCUAUUUUUUUUUGUCUUUUUAUCCUUUUUCUCACUUAAGGGAAUAUAUAUUAUAA
RNAcentral lists this long non-coding RNA (1385 nucleotides) under Phasianus colchicus (ring-necked pheasant). Its description in RNAcentral is "lncRNA (ENSPCLG00000007745.1)". The record is from RNAcentral. Lineage: Eukaryota; Metazoa; Chordata; Aves; Galliformes; Phasianidae.